CUACGUAGGGGGCGAGCGUUGUCCGGAAUGACUGGGCGUAAAGGGCGUGUAGGCGGCCGAUUAAGUCUGGAGUGAAAGUCCCGCUUUCAAGGUGGGAAUUGCUUUGGAGACUGGUUGGCUUGAGUGCGGAAGAGGUAAGUGGAAUUCCCAGUGUAGCGGUGAAAUGCGUAGAGAUUGGGAGGAACACCAGUGGCGAAGGCGACUUACUGGGCCGUAACUGACGCUGAGGCGCGAAAGCGUGGGGAGCGAACAGGAUUAGAUACCCUGGUAGUCCACGCUGUAAACGAUGAAUGCUAGGUGUAGGGGGUAUCGACCCCUCCUGUGCCGGAGUAAACGCAAUAAGCAUUCCGCCUGGGGAGUACGGCCGCAAGGUUGAAACUCAAAUGAAUUGACGGGG
Molecule: ribosomal RNA, 397 nt
Filed under: uncultured bacterium
Lineage: Bacteria
Description: partial 16S ribosomal RNA
Rfam family: Bacterial small subunit ribosomal RNA
Source: RNAcentral